Non-coding RNA from Pelodiscus sinensis (Chinese soft-shelled turtle), 757 nucleotides. NCBI's taxonomy places the organism in Eukaryota, Metazoa, Chordata, Testudines, Trionychidae. The record is from RefSeq and is a predicted model, not a curated record.
CUUCCCGCCCCGAAGACAGAGGAGGCAAGGCGAUGGCCCGGGGCGGCGCCCAGACACGCGGGUAGGCUUGUUGGGGGGAUGCUCCCCCGUGCCGCCCGGCUCCCCGGCGCCCAGGCGGCACAUUGCACAUUGCCCAGCGCACAACGCCCUCUAGCCAAAGUCAGACUCAAGACGUUUCCAAGCCACCCCCCCUUCUGACACGGAGAAAAGCGGCUCCCGGCCCCUCCACGCCACCGCUCCAGGGUGCACCACGCUGAAGUCGGGAGGCUGCCGGGGCCAGCUGAUGACCAGCCCGCGGGUGCAAUGAAAUGUAACCUCGACGCGGCAGCCGCGCCGCCCUGCCCUUCGGUGCGUUUUAAAGGGACUAGUUGAGAACAGUUCAGGAAGUGACAAGCCUAUUUCCUCCCUCUUAGUAGAUCGGCACGAAGCACUCCGGAGCCAGCAGGGGAGUCGCGCAGGCUCCUUCUGGAGACAGAUGCUGCAGAUCGUAGCGGGGAGACCCACAGCCGCGUGCUGGAGGAUGGGGGCUUAAUACCAAGAGGCAGAUUGCCAAGAAGGAAAAGACAAAACCACUGCCAAUACCAUGUCCUUAGUCUGAGAAGGAAUAGCUACUGAGAUGAUGGGCCUAACCACCUCUGACCCUCUCCUGUCAUUUCUCUCUAUUCCUUUCCGCCAUUUGUUUGUAAGGGAGUCUUUCCCCUGCCACUCCUGUUCCUUAAGAGCAAGGGGACAAUAAACUGAUGUUGUUUUUCACUGA